RNAcentral lists this non-coding RNA (66 nucleotides) under unclassified sequences. The record is from RNAcentral.
GUUCAUCAUCGAAAAAGCCUUUACGUGGCGAUGAACAUAAGUAGCUAAGAGCGAAACUAAUUUUUC